This 373-nucleotide unclassified non-coding RNA is filed under the name soil metagenome. RNAcentral describes it as "partial contains 5.8S ribosomal RNA, internal transcribed spacer 2, and large subunit ribosomal RNA". The stretch from base 1 to 121 matches the Rfam family "5.8S ribosomal RNA", at positions 35 to 154 of the family's 154-position model. The record is from RNAcentral.
GAUGAAGAACGCAGCGAAAUGCGAUAAGUAAUGCGAAUUGCAGAAUUCCAGUGAGUCAUCGAAUCUUUGAACGCACAUUGCGCCCUUUGGUAUUCCGAAGGGCAUGCCUGUUCGAGCGUCAUUAUCACCCCUCAAGCCCUCGGCUUGGUGUUGGACGGUUUGGUGGAGGCCCCCUCGGGGGCUCCUGCCCCUCCCAAAGACAAUGACGGCGGCCUUGUUGGACCCCCGGUACACUGAGUUCUUCACGGGACACGUAUCGGACACAUGGGUUUACGGGACACGGUCUGCCUCCCCUCAGGGAGAAUCUUUCUAAGGUUGACCUCGGAUCAGGUAGGGAUACCCGCUGAACUUAAGCAUAUCAAUAAGCGGAGGA